UUAAAUGAAUUGACGGGACCGCACAAGCGGUGGAUGAUGUGGUUUAAUUCGAUGCAACGCGAAAACCUUACCCACCUUUGACAUGGCAGGAAUCCUAAAGAGAUUUGGGAGUGCUCGAAAGAGAACCUGCACACAGGUGCUGCAUGGCUGUCGUCAGCUCGUGUCGUGAGAUGUUGGGUUAAGUCCCGCAACGAGCGCAACCCUUGCCAUUAGUUGCUACGAAAGGGCACUCUAAUGGGACUGCCGGUGACAAACCGGAGGAAGGUGGGGAUGACGUCAAGUCCUCACGGCCCUUAUAGGUGGGGCUACACACGUCAUACAAUGGCCGGUACAGAGGGUAGCCAACCCGCGAGGGGGAGCCAAUCCCACAAAGCCGGUCGUAGUCCGGAUCGCAGUCUGCAACUCGACUGCGUGAAGUCGGAAUCGCUAGUAAUCGCGGAUCAGCAUGUCGCGGUGAAUACGUUCCCGGGCCUU
This 474-nucleotide ribosomal RNA is filed under the name uncultured Allobrachymonas sp. RNAcentral's name for it is "bacterial SSU rRNA". It matches the Rfam family "Bacterial small subunit ribosomal RNA", at positions 901 to 1382 of the family's 1533-position model. Lineage: Bacteria; Pseudomonadati; Pseudomonadota; Betaproteobacteria; Burkholderiales; Comamonadaceae. The record is from RNAcentral.